CGGCUGUGGAGGGGAAGGUGGCGGUUCCCCCUGAGGAGGGUGUUUGUCUUUAAAGCUGACGCUCCCCGCCCCCUCCCCGCAGGGAAGGCUGAGGGCGCUGCCGGCGCUGGAGUCCUUGUUGGGGUCCCCGCCCCGGAGCCUCUCUCAGCGGAGGGGUGGCCUUUUCCUCAUUUCCAGGUCCUCCUGACUGUGAGUGUGAGGGGAGCUGACUAACAGGCUGUGGGGACGCCUUUGAAGGCGCAUUCUGUGACUCCUCAACAUAGUGUCACCUGAGAAAACAAUCCAGACCCUGAUCAGGACCAGGACCAAAUGGCUGCUUCUCAGAAGUAUGGCACAUGAUUUGGAAACAUUGGCAUCACAAGUAAAAAGUGAGCUUGUGACAUGUGUGGAAACACAGGCCCCAUCUCAGAACCUGGAUCAGAAUCUGUGUCUUUAUAGAAGUUCAUUUUGUUGUGGUUUGCUUCAACUUGAGAAGUCCGUAAACUCCAACCCAUCAUUGCAUUUCCAUCUGAGAAAUAUACCCCACUGGCCCUGAAUGAUGCAAAGGCAGCACUCAGACAUCCAUAUGCUUGUAUCCACACCUUAAUUUAAUUAAUUUAUUUUAUAAUAUAUUUUUAUUGAUUUCAGAGAGGAAAGGGGGAGAGAGAGAGAGAGAGAGAGAGAGAACAUUGGUGAGAGAGAAUUCAUGAUCGGCUGCCUCCAAUACACCCCCUACUUGGCAUUGAGCCUGCAACCCCGGCUUGUGCCCUUGACAGGAAUUGAACCUGCGACUCUUCAGUCUGCAGGCCCACCCUCUAUCCACUGAGCCCACAGAGUCAAACUGACUAUGGCCAUGACUUA
Long non-coding RNA from Myotis daubentonii (Daubenton's bat), 840 nucleotides. RefSeq lists it as uncharacterized. The record is from RefSeq and is a predicted model, not a curated record. The transcript is spliced from 3 exons. Lineage: Eukaryota; Metazoa; Chordata; Mammalia; Chiroptera; Vespertilionidae.